GCCCUUGGAAUAAUCAAAGGUGAGACCUGCCCAAUGAUUUUUAAAACAAAGUAAUAAUCUAUACUUAAAUAAAAUUUAAAGGACGCGGUAACCUUGACUGUGAUAAUGUAGCAUAAUCAUUUGCCAUUUAAUUGAUGGAUAGUAUGAAUGGUUUAACGAAUAUUACUCUGUCUCAAAAGAAGAUCCUAUGAAAAUGAAAUAAUAGUUAAGAUGCUAUUUAAAAUUGUAAGACGAAAAGACCCUAUAGAGCUUCACUAUAUUCUCUUUUUAUAAUACAAAAUAUAAACUUUUAUAUAAUAAGGAGAAUGGUAGUUUAGUUGGGGCGACUAUCUUCUAAAAAUAACGAAGACAAGCUAUAUUAAUAAUAUAAUUUACUGUAUAAUCAAUAAAUUUAACAGUUAUCAAAAUAGGCAAUAAUGACCCGUUAUAAUUUAGUAAAAAAUAUAACGAAUAAUAAAUAAAAGCUACCUUAGGGAUAACAGGAUAAUUUUAUUUUAGAGAUCUUAUCAAAAAUAAAGUUUGUCACCUCUAUGUUGAAUUGAGAUAUCCAGAUAAUGCAAAAGUAUCAAAGGUA
Molecule: ribosomal RNA, 574 nt
Filed under: Similiclava nivea
Lineage: Eukaryota; Metazoa; Cnidaria; Hydrozoa; Anthoathecata; Similiclavidae
Description: partial 16S ribosomal RNA
Rfam family: Bacterial large subunit ribosomal RNA
Source: RNAcentral